AACGCUGGCGGCGUGCCUAAUACAUGCAAGUCGAACGGCUUUUCUAUGGAAGCUUGCUUCCACUGAGAAGAUAGUGGCGAACGGGUGAGUAACACGUGGGUAACCUGCCCAUAAGAGGGGGGAUAACAUCCGGAAACGGGUGCUAAUACCGCAUAGUUUUCUUGAUCGCAUGAUCGGGAAAGGAAAGACGGCCUUUGUGCUGUCGCUUAUGGAUGGACCCGCGGCGUAUUAGUUAGUUGGUGAGGUAACGGCUCACCAAGACGAUGAUACGUAGCCGACCUGAGAGGGUGAUCGGCCACAUUGGGACUGAGACACGGCCCAAACUCCUACGGGAGGCAGCAGUAGGGAAUCUUCCGCAAUGGACGAAAGUCUGACGGAGCAACGCCGCGUGAGUGAAAGAAGGUUUUCGGAUCGUAAAACUCUGUUGUCAGAGAAGAACAAGUUGGAGAGUAACUGCUCCAGCCUUGACGGUAUCUGACCAGAAAGCCACGGCUAACUACGUGCCAGCCGCCGC
This 514-nucleotide ribosomal RNA is filed under the name uncultured bacterium. RNAcentral's name for it is "bacterial SSU rRNA". It matches the Rfam family "Bacterial small subunit ribosomal RNA", at positions 32 to 518 of the family's 1533-position model. The record is from RNAcentral.